This is a long non-coding RNA of Caretta caretta (loggerhead turtle), 6093 nucleotides long. RefSeq lists it as uncharacterized. The record is from RefSeq and is a predicted model, not a curated record. NCBI's taxonomy places the organism in Eukaryota, Metazoa, Chordata, Testudines, Cheloniidae.
UUUCUGAUCAUCAUCACAUUUUAUCACCAACUGUUUCUUUUACUUUUUAGCUAUUACAUAUACUGUACUUUAGGAUUUUAAAAAAUCAAAAACCUUACACACUGUCUCCCUUUCAUAAAAAAUGUCUCUUCUUUGAGUGUAGAUUGAAAAAAAUUUCACUUACUUUUCUAAUUUGCAAAUGUGAUAGAAGUAUAAUCAUAGUACAGUCUUGAGUUGACUCCCUGCCCUCGAAAUAAAACCUGUAGCUUCAGUUAGGUGAGAUGCCUCAGGUAAUUAAAACAACAGAUUUAGAGAAGUCAGAAAUGAAGAAGACCAAAUAGUCAUUUAGUCUAACCUCCGGUGGCCAAUAUAGGAUUGUUCUUUACAUAACAUUUUUCAGUUGUUUUGUCCAGUCAAAUUUUAAAUUUUCAAUUUGAUGGGGCUUCUACCAUUUUUCUUGAAAAACUGAAAACAGCCUAAUAGAUUUCAUGGUCAGGAAGAUUUAUCUGAUAUUCUACCUGAAUUUUUGCUUAAUUUAAUCUUUUUACUGCUAGUUAUAGUGCUUUAUAGCCACCUUAAAUAAUCCUCUCCAUGCUUGUUUUAUAUACUCUUCAAAUAUUUGUAAAUAUUGUUGUUUUCCUUUAAUGGUUGCUUAGAUGAAUUCUCAGUUACAGACCCCUUUGCAGUCCCUCUCAAGUGCAUGCCUCUGGUGGCAGGUUUUGCUACCUUUAGCCAUUCUGGGUGGAACCACACAGUCCUGCCAUUCUUAGUCUUCAGAGUGAGAGCCGUGUUAGUCUGUAGCCGCAAAAAGAAAAGGAGUACUUGUGGCACCUUAGAGACUAACCAAUUUAUUUGAGCAUAAGCUUUCAUGAGCUACAGCUCACUUCAUCAGCCCCUCUGUUUACUACCCAUGAAAAAACAACAGGCCCAGGUAUAUGGCACCUCCAAGACCUUUUCUGUGGGAACAUGUGACCAGCAGCUGAAUAGAGUGACUCAAAACAGUUUCUUCAAAAUAAAGUAUUAUUUAUUCACCCCAGGGUACAAAGCACUCAGAGAAGAGGUUUGAAAUGACAAAAGGCCUAUCCACCUGGGUCUUUUUCUCACAAAUUUUCUUAAGUUCUGCUCAGCCCAAACACCCCUGAUUUCUCUGCUCAGUGUUUUGAUCUCUGCUGCCCUACAGGCAUGCGCCCCUCCCCUUUCAAAGCUACAGGAAGUAUCUGUGUGCUGCUCCCUUUGGGGAACAAACUAAGAGCAAAUAAUUGGGAUGCUGCUGUUCUGCCCUGCACUAGGAACACAGCAGCAGGCAGCAGAAAGACUGCUCUGCUGCUUUGCCAUUCCUCAGCAUGGAGAGCUCACAGAGCUGCUCAUAAUGCUGCUCUCAGCAGCUGAGGGAGCUGUGGGAGAACUGGGAGAGAAUCCCAAGAUGCACAGCGAUCAGCUCUUCCUUCUCACAACACUACACUGCGGGAUACCCACAAUGCAUUGCUCACCCUGUCGAUGAUCAUGUCCCCAAUGUGGACAUGAUCUUUUGACAGAGGGAACAAGUGUGAACACCCUUUGGCGAUUUUUGUUUUGGCAACUUUUGGAUAUUGACAUAAGUUUUGUCAACAAAACUUGGUAGUGUAGACAAGCCCCACGAUAUAAAAGGCAUUAUAACUCCUCUUAGCCCUGGUCUACACUACAAGUUUAGGUUGAAUUUAGCAGCGUUAGAUCGAUUUAACCCUGCACCUGCCCACAUGACAAAACCAUUUUUGUCGACUUAAAGGGCUCUUAAAAUCGAUUUCUGUACUCCUCCCCUACGAGGGGAUUAGCGCUGAAAUCGACAUCGCCUGGUCAAAUUUGGGGUAGUGUGGAUGCAAUUCAAUGGUACUGGCCUCUGGGAGCUAUCCCAGAAUGUGCCAUUUUGACCGCUCUGGACAGCACUUUCAAUUCAGAUGCACUAGCCAGGUACACAGGAAAAGUCCCGGGAACUUUUGAAUUUCAUUUCUGUUUGGCCAGCAUGGUGAGCUCAUCAGCACAGGUGACCAUGCAGUCCCAGAAUCACAAAAGAGAUGCAGCAUGGACCAAAUGGGAGGUACUGGAUCUGAUCACUGUAUGGGGAGACGAAUCCAUGCUAUCAGAACUCAGUUCCAAAAGACGAAAUGGCAAAAUAUUUGUAAAAAUCUCCAAGGGCAUGAUGGACACAGGGACCCGCAGCAGUGCCGCGUGAAAAUUAAGGAGCUCAGGCAAGCCUGCCAAAAAAUCAAAGAGGCAAAGGGCUGCUCCAGGUCAGAGCCCCAUACAUGCUGCUUCUAUGGUGAGCUGCAUGCAGUUCUACAGGGGGGCCCGAUUACUACCCCACCCCUGUCCGUGGACACCUGCAAGGGGGUAGUCUCAUGCAACAGGCAUGAGGAUUUGUGGGACGAGGAGGAGGAGGAGGAUAGUGCACAGCAGGCAAGCAGAGAAACCAUUCUCCCCGACAGCCAGGAACUCUUUAUCACCCUGGAGCCAAUAUCUUCCCAACCCUCCCAAGGCAGGCUCCCAGACCAUGAAGCCGGAGAAGGCAGUUCUGUUGCAAAUGUUUCAACACUCCCCCUAUCAUCUCCGCCCCAGAGGCUAGCGCAGAUAAGAAGGCGAAAAAAAUGCACUCGCAAUGAAAUAUUCUCUGAGCUCAUGCAGUCCUCCCGCACUGAAAGUGCUCAGCAGAAUGCGUGGAGGCAAACAAUGUCAGAGUCCAGGAAAGCAAAAAACAAACGCGAGGACAGGAGGGACAAGUGAGAUGAGAGGUGGCGGCAGUGUGAUGAGAGGAGGCAGGAUGCAAUGCUGAGGCUACUGCGGGAUCAAACUGAUAUGCUCUGGUGUCUGGUUGAGCUGCAGAAAAGGCAGCAGGAGCACAGACCGCCGCUGCUGUAACCGCCUGCCCUCCUCCUCAAGUUCCAUAGCCUCCUAACCCAGACGCCCAAGAACGCAGUGGGGAUGCUCUGGAAAUCCAAACACUCCACCCCAGAGGACUGCCCAAGCAACAGAAGGCUGGCAUUCAAUAAGUUUUGAAGUUCAGUGUGGCCUUGUCCUUCCCUCAUCCACCACCCCUCCCGGGCUACCUUGGCAGUUAUCCCCCUAUUUGUGUGAUGAAUUAAUAAAGAAUGCAUGAUUUUGAAACAACAAUGACUUUAUUGCCUCUGCAAGCAAUGAUCGAAGUGGGGAGGGCGGUUGGCUUACACGGAAGUAGAGUGAACCAAGGGGGCGGGUUUUCAUCAAGGAGAAACAAACAGAGCUGUCACACUGUAGCCUGGCCAGUCUUGAAACUGGUUUUCAAAGCUUCUCUGAUGCUCACCGCACCCUGCUGUGCUCUUCAAACCACCCUGGUGUCUGGCUGUGCAUAAUCAGUGGCCAGGCGAUUUGCCUCAACCUCCCACCCCGCCAUAAACGUCUCCCCCUUACUCUCACAGAUAUUGUGAAGCACACAGCAAGCAGCAAUAACAAUGGGAAUAUUGGUUUCGCUGAGGUCUAACAGAGUCAGUAAACUGUGCCAGCGCUCUUUUAAACAUCCAAAUGCACAUCCUACCACCAUUCUGCACUUGCUCAGCCUAUAGUUAAACAGCUCCUUAUAAUGCUCAUAACUGCUUUGGUGAUCUGAGCGGGUUCCAUGCUUGCCGUGGUAUGGCGUCUGCAGGAUAGCAGAGUUGCAGUGGAAUCAGUGGCUAAAGACGGAUGCCACGAGAAUAGAUAUUUAUAGAGAACAACAAGAGAACCUGCAAGGUGGAUUCAUGAGAGCAGGAGAGCAGAGUUGCAGCGGAAGCAGAGGAGGAUGACAGUUAGCACCGUGAACAUUUCCCGAGGAAGAACACAUGUACCCGGGAGCCCAUGACAGACAACAUGGAGAAAUUAACUAUUGAGACAAUAGCAGCAGAGCAGAGUUUUAGCUGAAGCAGUGUAUGAUGAUAGUUAGCAGUCCUACUGCACCGUCUGCUGCCAGCAGCACCCAGGACACAACAGCGGCAGUGUCAGUGAGCUGAGCUGGGCGGGCUGCACACUGGCCGUAGUAUGGCGUCUGCGUGGGAAAAAAGGCGCAAAAUGAUUGUCUGCUGUUGCUUUCACGGAGGGAAGGGCGACUGACGACAUGUACCCAAAACCACCCGCGACAAUGUUUUUUCCCCAUCAGGCAUUGGGAGCUUAACCCAGGAUUCCAAUGGGCAGCGGAGACUGCGGGAACUGUGGGAUAGCUACCUACAGUGCACCGCUCUGUAAGUCGAUGCUAGCCACGGUAGUGAGGACGCACUCCGCCGACUUAAUGUGCUUAGUGUGGACAUACACAGUCAACUGUAUAAAAUCGAUUUCUAAAAAUCGACUUCUUUAAUAUCAACCUAAUUUCGUAGUGUAGACAUACCCUCAGAGAUAAAGGGGACAAGCUCUUUAAUCCCUUAGCAAACAGAUCAGAUCCUUGUAUCUGGCUGAGGAAUGGUGGCUAAAGGGUUGUGGGGAGAGGCAAAGUUGUCUAUUACCAUUAUUACUAUAAAGCCAUUAUUAUUAGAUACUUCUUGAUCCCAGGAGUGAGAAUCCUACACAGGUGGAAUCUCUAGAGAAGAGAAAAUUACUUACGUAUGAUUCUGUUUCUCUGAAGAUAUUAUCUUGCAGAGUACUCUCUCACCUGCCCACAUCCCCUCAGAGUUUGGAAAUUAAUGUUUUUGAAUGCUCCCACUCCCCUGGCCAUAUUUUUCAUCUUAUGUUGGUCAUCUUGAAAUUUUGAAUGCCCUUUUCUACAUUCAUUACCAAUGUCAAUGGAAGGAACUGACUGGAACAUUCAUAGGCAACAUUUAUACUUGGCAGAGGGUAGCAAACAACAGGCAGUAGGGUACCAAGCUUGCUAUCGACCAUGCUACUGCUGCCCUUAAAAGUUAGAAAAACAUUAUGAACUAAGGGACUUAUAAUUGAAACUAAGGAGCUAAUGCCCAGGAGUAAGAAUCCCGCAAGAUAUCGUCAGAGAGGAAUAAUUACAGGUAAAGAUCUUUAAUUUUUGUUGUGUCCACCAUGAAAGGAUAUUUGGGUACAGCGCUCUUGACUGAUGGGUUAUUUGAGGGGUGAGGCUCCUCAAAAAGCAAGGUCCUUUCCUUUCAUGAGAAUUAAGGCCACCGCUGAGCAAAAAUGACGGUCUUGUUUUUGUGGAGGGGGCUGGAGUAUGUGGCUCAGGGUCCCCACUUUUUACCUUCCUGAGGUCCCUUUUGGUAAUUAUCCAGGAGCCCAAGAGUGGGACUUACUUUGUAUAAAAUGAAGCAAACUAGCCAGACUUAUCUCUAAUAUGCAAAUGUAGUCUGAAGAAACUAUAAACUCACCAAAUUAAGACUGAGCUCCCCAUACUAGGCUGUGUAUUUUUUCAGAGCUACAACUCCUUAUUAAUUAUUAAGCCAGUCACAGUCAUUGUAGAAUUGUGAGUGACACGUUUCAAAAGGACUUUAUUUAGCCCCUACAUCUUUAAACCUAUCAUAAGAUUCCAUGAAAUAGUAACACCACAGAAGGUUAAAAAAAAAAAACUACUAAAUAGACUUCUACUGUUUUUUGUUCUCAAAUUUGGCAGUGCCUCUUGAAUGUAUACUGUAUAUUUCACCUCUGUUACACAACAGUGAAAGAAAGUCAGUAUGGUGUAGAUCAUGCUGUGAAACAUCACUUAUAACAUCAAUUUAACACCUAGUGAAGAGCUGAUUCUCUUACCCAAGGUUUUCAGAGAUAGUAGUGAGUUGUUAGGAGUUGCUGAACUUGCAAUUAUUUCCAAAGGGAAAAAACAAACAAGAAACAAUCCACUGAUAGUCUGUGAUUAUCAUUUAACAACUCCAAUAAGAAAAACAACUAAUAAACACAAUGAAUGAAAUCCAGGCUCCACUGAAGUCAGUCAGGAUAUUGCCAUGAACCUCAAUGGAGCCACUAUUUCACCCAAUUUACAUAGCGUUACUAUCUCUGAAAACCUUGGGUAAGAGAAGUUUCAUCCUAAUUAAACUAUAAAUUGCACAUGUUUGAAAGAAUUUGGGACUUUCAUUCAACUUCACUAAAAUGGUGUAUUGUUGUAUCUAAUUUCCAAUGUAUGAUUUCACUGUAUUUCUUUGUAACGCUGCAAAGGAAAAAAUAAAUACCUGUUAAUCUUGA